GCCUGGCUGGCUCAGUCCGUAGAGCACGAGACUCUUGAUCUCGGGGGUGGUGGGUUUGAGCCCCAUGUUGGGUG
Molecule: transfer RNA, 74 nt
Filed under: Ailuropoda melanoleuca (giant panda)
Lineage: Eukaryota; Metazoa; Chordata; Mammalia; Carnivora; Ursidae
Rfam family: tRNA
About the family: Transfer RNA (tRNA) molecules are approximately 80 nucleotides in length. Their secondary structure includes four short double-helical elements and three loops (D, anti-codon, and T loops).
Source: Rfam by way of RNAcentral